CUUUUCCGUUCUGUAUUCACAGAACCGAAGCCGAGAGGAGAGGAGAAAAAGAAAGGAGAAGAAGAAGAACGUCGCCCGGCCGUGCUUUCCUUUUGUUCCGCCGCCGUCCGUCGCCGACCGCCUCGCCGUUGUUCCUCGUCGCCGUCUGCCACUUUAGCCAUUAUUAUGUCAUAUCGACCAUCAAAUUUUAUGGAGACGGACGAUAUGUUCCUCCAGUUUGAGGACGAUUUAGAUAAUAACAUCGCAGGAGGGUCAUCAUCUGUGGGCGACAAUACGGAGUCUUCUUCUCAACAAACGACUCCGACUCCUAGGAGACGUGCGCAGUCUCGACUCUUGGAGUUAGAGCGCCACGUUGCAAUAAAUGGGCGCAUUCCGAUGACGAUCGCCCCUGGAGCGUUUAGAU
This is a long non-coding RNA of Cucumis melo (muskmelon), 403 nucleotides long. RefSeq lists it as uncharacterized. The record is from RefSeq and is a predicted model, not a curated record. The transcript is spliced from 3 exons. NCBI's taxonomy places the organism in Eukaryota, Viridiplantae, Streptophyta, Magnoliopsida, Cucurbitales, Cucurbitaceae.